RNAcentral lists this ribosomal RNA (399 nucleotides) under Triticum aestivum (bread wheat). Its description in RNAcentral is "partial small subunit ribosomal RNA". The record is from RNAcentral. Lineage: Eukaryota; Viridiplantae; Streptophyta; Magnoliopsida; Poales; Poaceae.
AUGUCUUACCUGCUCCCCCACCUGCACUCCGGCGAGGAGCGCCUCGUGCUAAUCCGCUUCGGCCACGACUGGGACGAAACUUGUAUGCAGAUGGAUGAGGUGCUCUCAGGGGUGGCUGAGACCAUCAAGAACUUUGCCGUGAUCUACCUUGUUGACAUCACCGAGGUUCCUGACUUCAACACCAUGUACGAGCUGUACGACCCGUCAAUGGUCAUGUUCUUCUUCCGCAACAAGCACAUCACGAUUGAUCUUGGGACAGGAAACAACAACAAGAUCAACUGGGCAAUGAAAGACAAGCAAGAGUUUGUUGACAUCGUGGAGACUGUCUACAGAGGAGCUCGUAAGGGCCGUGGUCUGGUGAUUGCUCCCAAAGAUUACUCCACCAAAUACCGGUACUGA